UGGGGAAUAUUGGACAAUGGGGGGAACCCUGAUCCAGCCAUGCCGCGUGUGUGAAGAAGGCCUUAUGGUUGUAAAGCACUUUAAGCGAGGAGGAGGGUACUGGUAUUAAUACUACCAGGUACUGGACGUUACUCGCAGAAUAAGCACCGGCUAACUCUGUGCCAGCAGCCGCGGUAAUACAGAGGGUGCGAGCGUUAAUCGGAUUUACUGGGCGUAAAGCGCGCGUAGGUGGUUCGUUAAGUUGAAUGUGAAAGCCCCGGGCUCAACCUGGGAACUGCAUCCAAAACUGGCGAGCUAGAGUAGGGCAGAGGGUGGUGGAAUUUCCUGUGUAGCGGAGAAAUGCGUAGAUAUAGGAAGGAACACCAGUGGCGAAGGCGACCACCUGGGCUCAUACUGACACUGAGGUGCGAAAGCGUGGGGAGCAAACAGG
Molecule: ribosomal RNA, 430 nt
Filed under: Pseudomonadota bacterium
Lineage: Bacteria; Pseudomonadati; Pseudomonadota
Description: Proteobacteria bacterium partial 16S ribosomal RNA
Rfam family: Bacterial small subunit ribosomal RNA
Source: RNAcentral